GACAUCUCACCAGGAGCGACAGCCGUAUUAUAGGCAGGGGUGAGAACCUGCUUGACAAGCUGAGAGGAGGUGCAUGGCCGCCGUCAGCUCGUACCGUGAGGCGUCCUGUUAAGUCAGGCAACGAGCGAGACCCAA
Molecule: ribosomal RNA, 135 nt
Filed under: uncultured rumen archaeon
Lineage: Archaea
Description: partial 16S ribosomal RNA
Rfam family: Archaeal small subunit ribosomal RNA
Source: RNAcentral